ACGAACGCUGGCGGCGUGCCUAAUACAUGCAAGUUGAGCGCUGAAGGUUGGUACUUGUACCAACUGGAUGAGCAGCGAACGGGUGAGUAACGCGUGGGGAAUCUGCCUUUGAGCGGGGGACAACAUUUGGAAACGAAUGCUAAUACCGCAUAAAAACUUUAAACACAAGUUUUAAGUUUGAAAGAUGCAAUUGCAUCACUCAAAGAUGAUCCCGCGUUGUAUUAGCUAGUUGGUGAGGUGAAGGCUCACCAAGGCGAUGAUACAUAGCCGACCUGAGAGGGUGAUCGGCCACAUUGGGACUGAGACACGGCCCAAACUCCUACGGGAGGCAGCAGUAGGGAAUCUUCGGCAAUGGACGAAAGUCUGACCGAGCAACGCCGCGGGAGUGAAGAAGGUUUUCGGAUCGUAAAACUCUGUUGGUAGAGAAGAACGUUGGUGAGAGUGGAAAGCUCAUCAAGUGACGGUAACUACACAGAAAGGGACGGCUAACUACGUG
RNAcentral lists this ribosomal RNA (496 nucleotides) under uncultured bacterium. Its description in RNAcentral is "partial 16S ribosomal RNA". It matches the Rfam family "Bacterial small subunit ribosomal RNA", at positions 29 to 507 of the family's 1533-position model. The record is from RNAcentral.